CUGAAAUCAAGUGUGAUUACCCCCUGAAUUUAAGCAUAU
This 39-nucleotide ribosomal RNA is filed under the name Tinaminyssus melloi. Its description in RNAcentral is "28S ribosomal RNA". The record is from RNAcentral. Lineage: Eukaryota; Metazoa; Arthropoda; Arachnida; Mesostigmata; Rhinonyssidae.